UACGUAGGGUCCGAGCGUUGUCCGGAAUUAUUGGGCGUAAAGGGCUCGUAGGCGGUUUGUCACGUCGGGCGUGAAAACUUAGGGCUCAACCCUGAGCGUGCUGUCGAUACGGGCAGACUAGAGGUAUGCAGGGGAGAACGGAAUUCCUGGUGUAGCGGUGGAAUGCGCAGAUAUCAGGAGGAACACCGGUGGCGAAGGCGAGUCCCUGGGCAACAACUGACACUGAGGCACGAAAGCUAGGGGAGCAAACAGG
This 253-nucleotide ribosomal RNA is filed under the name uncultured bacterium. RNAcentral's name for it is "partial 16S ribosomal RNA". It matches the Rfam family "Bacterial small subunit ribosomal RNA", at positions 524 to 776 of the family's 1533-position model. The record is from RNAcentral.